Molecule: ribosomal RNA, 346 nt
Filed under: Paragalactinia michelii
Lineage: Eukaryota; Fungi; Ascomycota; Pezizomycetes; Pezizales; Pezizaceae
Description: SSU rRNA
Rfam family: Eukaryotic small subunit ribosomal RNA
Source: RNAcentral
AUAGCGUAUAUUAAAGUUGUUGCAGUUAAAAAGCUCGUAGUUGAACCUUGGGCCUGGCCGGCCGGUCUGCCUCACCGCAUGCACUGGUUUGGUUGGGCCUUUCCUUCUGGGGAGCCGCAUGUCCUUUACUGGAUGUGUUGGGGAACCAGGACUUUUACUUUGAAAAAAUUAGAGUGUUCAAAGCAGGCAAUUGCUCGGAUACAUUAGCAUGGAAUAAUAGAAUAGGACGUGUGGUUCUAUUUUGUUGGUUUCUAGAACCACCGUAAUGAUUAAUAGGGAUAGUCGGGGGCAUCAGUAUUCAAAUGUCAGAGGUGAAAUUCUUGGAUUAUUUGAAGACUAACUACUG